This 1359-nucleotide ribosomal RNA is filed under the name Limosilactobacillus fermentum. RNAcentral's name for it is "Lactobacillus fermentum partial 23S ribosomal RNA". It matches the Rfam family "Bacterial large subunit ribosomal RNA", at positions 1557 to 2925 of the family's 2925-position model. Lineage: Bacteria; Bacillati; Bacillota; Bacilli; Lactobacillales; Lactobacillaceae. The record is from RNAcentral.
CAAGCUGUGAUGGGGAGCGAAAUUAAAGUAGCGAAGUUGCCGAUGUCACACUGCCGAGAAAAGCUUCUAGUGAGUAUUUAACUGCCCGUACCGCAAACCGACACAGGUAGUCGAGGAGAGAAUCCUAAGGUGAGCGAGUGAACUCUCGUUAAGGAACUCGGCAAAAUGACCCCGUAACUUCGGGAGAAGGGGUGCUGGUCGCAAGACCAGCCGCAGUGAAAAGGCCCAGGCGACUGUUUAUCAAAAACACAGGUUUCUGCAAAAUCGUAAGAUGAAGUAUAGGGGCUGACGCCUGCCCGGUGCUGGAAGGUUAAAAGGAAGAGUUAGCUUCGGCGAAGCCCUGAAUUGAAGCCCCAGUAAACGGCGGCCGUAACUAUAACGGUCCUAAGGUAGCGAAAUUCCUUGUCGGGUAAGUUCCGACCCGCACGAAAGGCGUAACGAUCUGGGCACUGUCUCAACGAGAGACUCGGUGAAAUUGAAUUGCCUGUGAAGAUGCAGGCUACCCGCGACAGGACGGAAAGACCCCAUGGAGCUUUACUGUAGCUUGAUAUUGAGUGUUUGUACUACUUGUACAGGAUAGGUAGGAGCCGUAGAAGCCGGGACGCUAGUUUCGGUGGAGGCAUUGGUGGGAUACUACCCUUGUAUUAUGACCACUCUAACCCGCACCACUGAUCGUGGUGGGAGACAGUGUCAGGUGGGCAGUUUGACUGGGGCGGUCGCCUCCCAAAAGGUAACGGAGGCGCCCAAAGGUUCGCUCAGAAUGGUUGGAAAUCAUUCGCAGAGUGUAAAGGCACAAGCGAGCUUGACUGCGAGACAGACAGGUCGAGCAGGGACGAAAGUCGGGCUUAGUGAUCCGGUGGUUCCGCAUGGAAGGGCCAUCGCUCAACGGAUAAAAGCUACCCUGGGGAUAACAGGCUUAUCUCCCCCAAGAGUCCACAUCGACGGGGAGGUUUGGCACCUCGAUGUCGGCUCAUCGCAUCCUGGGGCUGUAGUCGGUCCCAAGGGUUGGGCUGUUCGCCCAUUAAAGCGGUACGCGAGCUGGGUUCAGAACGUCGUGAGACAGUUCGGUCCCUAUCCGUCGCGGGCGUAGGAAAUUUGAGAGGACCUGUCCUUAGUACGAGAGGACCGGGAUGGACAUACCGCUGGUGUACCAGUUGUUCCGCCAGGAGCAUCGCUGGGUAGCUAUGUAUGGAUGAGAUAAACGCUGAAAGCAUCUAAGUGUGAAACUCGCCUCAAGAUGAGAUUUCCCAUUCCUUUGGAAGUAAGACCCCACAGAGAUGAUGUGGUAGAUAGGAUGGAAGUGGAAGUGCGGUGACGCAUGGAGCGGACCAUUACUAAUCGGUCGAGGACUUAACCAAG